Molecule: ribosomal RNA, 2059 nt
Filed under: human gut metagenome
Description: bacterial LSU rRNA
Rfam family: Bacterial large subunit ribosomal RNA
Source: RNAcentral
AGAGCGUAUGGUGGAUGCCUUGGCACUAAGAGCCGAUGAAAGACGUGAUAAGCUGCGAAAAGCUUCGGGGAGGAGCAAAUAUCCUGAGAUCCGGAGAUAUCUGAAUGGGGAAACCUACUUGAGAAGACCUCAAGUAUCCACAGCCCAAUCCAUAAGCUGUGGAAGGGAACCCGGUGAACUGAAACAUCUAAGUAGCCGGAGGAAGAGAAAACAACAUGUGAUUCCGUAAGUAGCGGCGAGCGAACGCGGAAGAGCCCAAACCGGAGUGCGUGCACUCCGGGGUUCGGACUGCAGGAUUGACGAGUGAGCCUAGUAGAAUGGUUUUGGGAAAGCCAGCCAGAGAGGGUGAAAGCCCCGUACACGAAAGGCAAGCGAGCAUGGCAGGAUCCAGAGUACCACGAGACACGUGAAACCUUGUGGGAAUGAGCGGGGACCACCCCGUAAGGCUAAAUACUCCUUAGUGACCGAUAGCGCAUAGUACUGUGAAGGAAAGGUGAAAAGGACCCCGGGAGGGGAGUGAAAGAGAACCUGAAACCCUGUGUUUACAAGCUGUGGAACACCUUUAUAUGGUGGACCGCGUACUUUUUGUAGAACGGUCCGGCGAGUUGUGCAUACUGGCAAGGUUAAGCGUCUAAGACGCGGAGCCGUAGGGAAACCAAGUCUUAAAAGGGCCAGAGUCAGUAUGUGCAGACCCGAAACCGGGUGAUCUAUCCAUGUCCAGGUUGAAGCUGCCGUAAGAGGUAGUGGAGGACCGAACCCACAUCCGUUGAAAAGGGUGGGGAUGAGGUGUGGAUAGGGGAGAAAUUCCAAUCGAACCCGGAGAUAGCUGGUUCUCCUCGAAAUAGCUUUAGGGCUAGCCUCGAUACAGAUUUGCGGAGGUAGAGCACUGAAUUUCCUAGGGGGCGUCAAAGCCUACCGAAGAAUAUCAAACUCCGAAUGCCGUGUAAUUGCUUACCAGGAGUCAGACUGCACGAGAUAAGUUGGGCAGUCAAAAGGGAAAGAGCCCAGACCUGCAGCUAAGGCCCCAAAAUGUGUGUUAAGUGGAAAAGGAUGUGGGAUUUCGAAGACAACUAGGAUGUUGGCUCAGAAGCAGCCACACAUUCAAAGAGUGCGUAAUAGCUCACUAGUCGAGAGGUCCUGCGCCGAAAAUGUCCGGGGCUGAAACACACUACCGAAGCUUGGGAAUUGACGAAUGUUAAUUGGUAGAGGAGCAUUCUUAACGGGGCGAAGCUGUACCGGAAGGAGCAGUGGACUGUUAAGAAGAGAGAAUGCCGGAAUGAGUAGCGAGAGGAAGGUGAGAAUCCUUCCGGCCGAAUAUCUAAGGUUUCCAGAGUAAAGCUGAUCUGCUCUGGGUAAGUCGGGGCCUAAGGCGAGGUCGAAAGACGUAGUCGAUGGAUAACAGGUAAAGAUUCCUGUACUGUAUCAUAACAGAACUGUGGGGACGCAGACAGAGAGCAUAAGCCGGGAAUGGAAAGACCGGUACAAGCGAGGUAGGAGUGCAUCAGGCAAAUCCGGUGCACAAUCUGAAGACGUGAUGUGGGGCGUAAAGCCGGAAGUAUGUGAGCUGGCUGCCAAGAAAAGCCGCUAUUGUUUAUGAUAUACCCGUACCGUAAACCGACACAGGUGGAUGAGGAGAGAAUCCUAAGGCCGACGGAAGAAGCAUUGUCAAGGAACUCGGCAAAAUGACCCCGUAACUUCGGGAGAAGGGGUGCCAGUGAGAACUGGCCGCAGAGAAAAGGCUCAAGCAACUGUUUAGCAAAAACACAGGUCUAUGCAAAACCGAAAGGUGAGGUAUAUGGGCUGACGCCUGCCCGGUGCUGGAAGGUUAAGGGGAGAGGUUAGCCGUAAGGCGAAGCUUUGAACUUAAGCCCCAGUAAACGGCGGCCGUAACUAUAACGGUCCUAAGGUAGCGAAAUUCCUUGUCGGGUAAGUUCCGACCCGCACGAAAGGCGUAAUGAUUUGGGCACUGUCUCAACGAUACACCCGGUGAAAUUGAAAUACCAGUGAAGAUGCUGGUUACCUGCGCCAGGACGGAAAGACCCCAUGGAGCUUUACUCCA